RNAcentral lists this small RNA (1795 nucleotides) under Drosophila virilis. RNAcentral describes it as "GJ26140". Lineage: Eukaryota; Metazoa; Arthropoda; Insecta; Diptera; Drosophilidae. The record is from RNAcentral.
GUGUGGGCAUUUUAUCAUAGUGCUCGUAAAGCGCAAAGGCAAAUGCAAAAGAAAAUGUGUAAGAAAGAAAGAUCGGAAGUAAAAUUCAACAUAGAAGUGACAAUAACUGUUAGAAGAUAACGUUAGUUUUGCGGCAGGCCAAAAAUGUUGUGUUUUAUUAUAUUUAUUAAAUCAAUUCAACAACUAAAAUGGUUCAAAGUCCAAGACAAUUGGAACUGUAUGAAAAAAAAACUGUAUCCGUAACGAUGGCACUUGAAAAUGUUUAAACUGCACAUGAGAUUUCCAUAAAUUAUGCGACCUGUCAUUUACAAGGAGCAAAACAAUAUACUGGACAGUUGAAGUCUGAAAUGAAAUGCACACAAAAACGUUGCCGCCAAGUUGCAAGCAGACGCCAAGCCGCAUCCAAGCCGUUCGUUCAUGUGAAGCCUCUGUUUAUGGCGGUUUUCGCACCCGUGGCGCUCGGACGGCGGCUGGCUAACGUGACUUGACCUCGACCUGUCCCGUCUUCUCAUGCUCAGGGCAAUACAACGUUCGAAUAACCAAAUGCUCGGCGUAUUAUUUAUGUGCAUUGAACGCGAAACACUUAGAACUAGACACUAAGCAAUAUCUAUGCAGACGUAGAACUGGGCAGCGAAUAAGCGACAAUAGUCUCCGUGGCUGGGCACGAUUACAUCUUUAUACUCUGAACCGUAUAGAUGUGUAUCGUCUGAUAGCUGCGUGUUAAAUUCCAGCUAAGCCAUGCACCGCGGUCAACAAUUGCAGGCAGCCACAAAGUCACAAAGCCACAAUAUGCGACUUGUGUUAAGUCAACGGGUUUGUCAAACUGCCGACAGAAACACGGCUUCGAUUCGAUUAGACGCCGGCAUGGCACCUUGACAAGCCUGCAAACAUCUUCAAAUGGCAAUUGGCAAUCGAAGAUGAUGACGCUAAUAGUGCCAGAGCUGGUGCUGGUGCUGGUGCCGCCGCUUCUUCUGCUGGAGGUGGCGCUGAAGCUGUGACUGGAGUUGAAGUUACCUAUGUGAGACUCUGUGUUUCUAUGCUGGGCGUGCGCGACUAGACAGUUACCCUGUGCCCAGAAACAGGAACAGGAACUUCCGAAAGCCGAAUAGAGUUGAAGUUAUCUAUGUGAGACUCUGUGUUUCUAUGCUGGGCGUGCGCGACUAGACAGUUACCCUGUGCCCAGGAACAGGAACAGGAACUUCCGCAAGCCGAAUAGAGCUUGGUUUAAUCCUUGAUUUAGAAUUGCCAGCCAUAUUAAGAGGCUCUUUUCUUCUGCUGUGCUGCUGAACAAGGACUAAGGCAAACCCUUAGAUUGUAAUUAAACUAUGCUGAUUAUGCAACUCAAGCAUAUUACAAUUCUCAACUGGUUCACUGGCGCGGGAAUUGCAUCGAUCAGCGCAUCAGAGGAAAAUGUCAAGCACGCUAACCCAGCAGAAGUACAUAAUUAGUCAAUGCAAAAAAGCAGAAAGGCGAAAAGCCACCAGCGCAGCAGACACCUGAACAUGUCAAGGCUUUGAAUAUGUUUGCGGAGGCAAAGCCGAUGUCAAUGGGUUAUGUGUACUACAACUAAGUCAGAGCGCGAGCGCGAUCGCGAUCGCGAUCGGCGUCUAUUUAAGGAGACCGUCGAGGUCAGCUGCUGCUUGUUUGUAGCCAUUGUGAUUGUGGCAGCGAGUACGAGAACGUUGCACGCAACAGCCUCCGCACCGAGACGGGCCGAUGACUAAGGCUAACCACCGGCCACAGGUGAGCAAGCGGCCAAGCGGCCAAGCGACCAAGCGGCUGACUGGACUGACUA